RNAcentral lists this ribosomal RNA (443 nucleotides) under uncultured bacterium. RNAcentral's name for it is "partial 16S ribosomal RNA". It matches the Rfam family "Bacterial small subunit ribosomal RNA", at positions 338 to 795 of the family's 1533-position model. The record is from RNAcentral.
CCUACGGGUGGCAGCAGUGGGGAAUAUUGGGCAAUGGGCGCAAGCCUGACCCAGCCACGCAGCGUGAAGGAAGAAGGCUUUCGGGGUAUCAACUUCUUUUCUCAGGGCAGAAGCAAGUGACGGUAACUGAGGUAUAAGCCACGGCUAACUACGUGCAAGCAGCCGCGGUAAUACGUAGGUGGCAAGCGUUAUCCGGAUUUACUGGGUGUAAAGGGCGUGUAGGCGGGACUGCAAGUCAGAUGUGAAAACCACGGGCUCAACCUGGGGCCUGCAUUUGAAACUGUAGUUCUUGAGUACUGGAGAGGCAGACGGAAUUCCUAGUGUAGCGGUGAAAUGCGUAGAUAUUAGGAGGAACACCAGUGGCGAAGGCGGUCUGCUGGACAGCAACUGACGCUGAGGCGCGAAAGCGUGGGGAGCAAACAGGAUUAGAUACCCCAGUAGUC